AGUGAACGCUGGCGGCAGGCCUAACACAUGCAAGUCGAACGGCAGCACAGCAGUAGCAAUACUGUGGGUGGCGAGUGGCGGACGGGUGAGGAAUACAUGGGAAUCUGCCCUGUCGUGGGGGAUAACGUAGGGAAACUUACGCUAAUACCGCAUACGACCGGAAGGUGAAAGCGGCGGACCGCAAGGCGUCGCGCGACUGGAUGAGCCCAUGUCGGAUUAGCUAGUUGGCGGGGUAAAGGCCCACCAAGGCGACGAUCCGUAGCUGGUCUGAGAGGAUGAUCAGCCACACUGGAACUGAGACACGGUCCAGACUCCUACGGGAGGCAGCAGUGGGGAAUAUUGGACAAUGGGCGCAAGCCUGAUCCAGCCAUGCCGCGUGAGUGAAGAAGGCCUUCGGGUUGUAAAGCUCUUUUGUCCGGAAAGAAAAGCUGCCGGUUAAUACCCGGUGGUUAUGACGGUACCGGAAGAAUAAGCACCGGCUAACUUCGUGC
This 491-nucleotide ribosomal RNA is filed under the name uncultured bacterium. RNAcentral's name for it is "bacterial SSU rRNA". It matches the Rfam family "Bacterial small subunit ribosomal RNA", at positions 29 to 508 of the family's 1533-position model. The record is from RNAcentral.